ACAGAGAUUGUACAUUAAAGAUGUGAUUAGUUAUAGUUCUAUAUUUGAUCUAAAGGUAUGUAGCAAGAAAUGAUGAAGAAAUGGAAGAAAUUACUAUUAAAAGGUCUAUAGGUAGCAACAGGAGUAGACAGCAUGCUAGGAGGGAACAUAUAAUUAGAGUAGAAAGAACUAGGAGAAUAUCAUACACGUGGAAUAGUGUGAAAUGUUAUUGAAUUGGAAUAAUGAAUUACAGUGUGCGAAUAAUUUUAAAUUUAUAAGGUUUGGCGAGAAAGAUUUAAAGAAAGUAUUAGAGCUAAGAAAAAGAAUGAAAAUAAGCCAUAUUAGACUAUCCAAAUCUCUAUUAGCUAUGCCUGUAAACAAGAAGAAUUUAUUCAAUUGAUUUAGAUGAAAAUAGUGUAAUGGAAAUAGAAUAAAUUCUGUAGAUAUGUC
Molecule: long non-coding RNA, 429 nt
Organism: Bombus huntii
Lineage: Eukaryota; Metazoa; Arthropoda; Insecta; Hymenoptera; Apidae
Exons: 2
Source: RefSeq, a predicted model, not a curated record